AACGGGUGAGUAAUGCGUGACCAACCUGCCCCAUGCUCCAGAAUAGCUCUUGGAAACGGGUGGUAAUGCUGGAUGCUCCAACUUGACGCAUGUCUUGUUGGGAAAGUGUUUAGUGGCAUGGGAUGGGGUCGCGUCCUAUCAGCUUGUAGGCGGGGUAAUGGCCCACCUAGGCUUCGACGGGUAGCCGGCCUGAGAGGGCGGACGGCCACAUUGGGACUGAGAUACGGCCCAGACUCCUACGGAGGCAGCAGAA
RNAcentral lists this ribosomal RNA (253 nucleotides) under uncultured Gardnerella sp. Its description in RNAcentral is "partial 16S ribosomal RNA". It matches the Rfam family "Bacterial small subunit ribosomal RNA", at positions 101 to 354 of the family's 1533-position model. The record is from RNAcentral. Lineage: Bacteria; Bacillati; Actinomycetota; Actinomycetes; Bifidobacteriales; Bifidobacteriaceae.